This 424-nucleotide ribosomal RNA is filed under the name uncultured bacterium. RNAcentral describes it as "partial 16S ribosomal RNA". It matches the Rfam family "Bacterial small subunit ribosomal RNA", at positions 360 to 776 of the family's 1533-position model. The record is from RNAcentral.
AAUAUUGGACAAUGGUCGAAAGCCUGAUCCAGCCAUGCCGCGAUUGUUAAGAUUGUCUUCGGAUUGUAAAGCACUUUUAGUUGGGAGGAAGGUUUGCAGGAUAAUCCCCUGCAAUUUUGACGUUACCAACAGAAUAAGCAUUUGCUAACUUCCUGCCAUCAGCCCCGGUAAUACGAAGGGUGACAGCGUUAAUCGGAAUUACCGGGCGUAAAGCGCGCGUAGGUAGUUAGUUAAAUUGGAAGUGAAAGCCCCGGGCUUAACCUGGGAAUUGCUUUCAAAACUGACGAGCUAGAGUACGGUAGAGGGUAGUGGAAUUUCCUGUGUAGCGGUGAAAUGCGUAGAUAUAGGAAGGAACAUCAGUGGCGAAGGCGACUACCUGGACUGAUACUGACACUGAGGUGCGAAAGCGUGGGGAGCAAACAGG